This 460-nucleotide ribosomal RNA is filed under the name uncultured bacterium. Its description in RNAcentral is "partial 16S ribosomal RNA". It matches the Rfam family "Bacterial small subunit ribosomal RNA", at positions 338 to 795 of the family's 1533-position model. The record is from RNAcentral.
CCUACGGGGGGCAGCAGUGAGGAAUAUUGGUCAAUGGGCGGAAGCCUGAACCAGCCAAGUAGCGUGCAGGAUGACUGCCCUAUGGGUUGUAAACUUCUUUUAUACGGGAAUAACGCGCCUUACGUAUAGGGCUUUGCAUGUACCGUAUGAAUAAGGACCGGCUAAUUCCGUGCCAGCAGCCGCGGUAAUACGGAAGGUUCGGGCGUUAUCCGGAUUUAUUGGGUUUAAAGGGAGCGUAGGCCGCAUGUUAAGCUUGCUGUGAAAGUUUCGGGCUCAACCCGAGCCUUGCAGUGGAUACUGGCGUGCUUGAGUCCGCGGAAAGCAGGCGGAAUUCGUCGUGUAGCGGUGAAAUGCUUAGAUAUGACGAAGAACCCCGAUUGCGAAGGCAGCUUGCUGCAGCGUAACUGACGCUGAUGCUCGAAAGCGCGGGUAUCGAACAGGAUUAGAUACCCGGGUAGUC